CAGGAUGAACGCUGGCGGCGUGCCUAAUACAUGCAAGUCGAGCGAACGGACGAGAAGCUUGCUUCUCUGAUGUUAGCGGCGGACGGGUGAGUAACACGUGGAUAACCUACCUAUAAGACUGGGAUAACUUCGGGAAACCGGAGCUAAUACCGGAUAAUAUUUUGAACCGCAUGGUUCAAAAGUGAAAGACGGUCUUGCUGUCACUUAUAGAUGGAUCCGCGCUGCAUUAGCUAGUUGGUAAGGUAACGGCUUACCAAGGCAACGAUGCAUAGCCGACCUGAGAGGGUGAUCGGCCACACUGGAACUGAGACACGGUCCAGACUCCUACGGGAGGCAGCAGUAGGGAAUCUUCCGCAAUGGGCGAAAGCCUGACGGAGCAACGCCGCGUGAGUGAUGAAGGUCUUCGGAUCGUAAAACUCUGUUAUUAGGGAAGAACAUAUGUGUAAGUAACUGUGCACAUCUUGA
RNAcentral lists this ribosomal RNA (465 nucleotides) under Staphylococcus aureus. Its description in RNAcentral is "bacterial SSU rRNA". It matches the Rfam family "Bacterial small subunit ribosomal RNA", at positions 25 to 472 of the family's 1533-position model. The record is from RNAcentral. Lineage: Bacteria; Bacillati; Bacillota; Bacilli; Caryophanales; Staphylococcaceae.